GACGAACGCUGGCGGCGUGCCUAACACAUGCAAGUCGAACGAAGUCCUACCGGUGGCAACACUGGGAAAGGCUUAGUGGCGAACGGGUGAGUAACACGUGAGGAACCUGCCCCGAAGACCGGGAUAACCCGAGGAAACUCGAGCUAAUACCGGAUACCCCCACCGGACCGCAUGGUCUGGUGAGGAAAUGGAUUCCGCUUCGGGAGGGCCUCGCGGCCUAUCAGCUAGUUGGUGGGGUAACGGCCCACCAAGGCUUCGACGGGUAGCUGGUCUGAGA
Molecule: ribosomal RNA, 277 nt
Filed under: uncultured bacterium
Lineage: Bacteria
Description: partial 16S ribosomal RNA
Rfam family: Bacterial small subunit ribosomal RNA
Source: RNAcentral